Long non-coding RNA from Astatotilapia calliptera (eastern happy), 1257 nucleotides. The record is from Ensembl. NCBI's taxonomy places the organism in Eukaryota, Metazoa, Chordata, Actinopteri, Cichliformes, Cichlidae.
AAGCCAGGAAAAGCUGGUUCCUGACUUAAUGUGGGAGGGCUGACUUGCUGAAAACAGCACCACAGACACAGCACGAUAUGUAACUGAUCUACUUAUAACCCUUAUGUAAAUGCUGUUUACCCACCACUCAAAGUGUCAUUUAGGAUUUGCAGACAAUCCCUGGUGUUCAUGCAAAGUUUACUCAGGUCAGUGUGCUGUCUCAUACUUUUUUUCCUCCUGCAUUUUCUGGGGUCACUCACUUGGUUGCUAAUGAAUACCCCUCAUGCGAGCAUGGAGCAGGCAUCAACCUAACACCUACUCAUGCUACGCUGUAUAUAAAGAAAUUAAGCCUCUGCACAGACUGUCGCCAGUAGAAAAUGAAAGAGAAAACAGGUAUUGAGCAACAGUUUAUGAAAAAGUAUAAUAUAAAAAUUAUUAAAACUAGUAUCGGUGAAGAAACAAACACAGGUAAAAAACAACAACAACACAAAAAGCAUUAGCAACAGUAAGCAUGUGAGUGCAAACUAAGAAAAAAAUAACAUAUUGAGAAAGAAAAAAACUUCUAGAUCUCCCUACAUUAUCAUCCCCAGAACAAUGCCACUGUGGCUAGAAACAACACACAAAUGACACUGGGGUUACUGUGAUUGAAUACCACAGACUUUGUAGGGGUGUGGAGUGGGGUCAUAUUAACAAACCAUUCAAAUUUGCAUGGAUGAAAGCAAACAUCUGCCUUGCUACCCCUGAUCUGAUUUUUACUACGCUACAAACUUCUUAAAGUAUGGUUAAAAGAACAAAGAAAAAAAAACAUAUAGAAAAUGAAAUACUGUUCUCUUAAAAGCAACUACUGCCCUAAGAGUGAGCUGCUUUGCCAGAGGCAUGCCCAGAUCAUCGAGUUACAGACCCUUGGGCACAAAUGUUUGAUGGGCCCUAGCCAGCUUGUUUUGAGGAUCAGACUUUUUUACUUUCUUCAGAAAUCAUGUCAUACAGGAAUGUCUGUAUACCUGUACACAGAAUAUAGCUCCAAAUGGGGAAGCUGUAUCUUACUAAAAAAUAAAAGUAACCAUCACAAUACAACUUUACUAAAAACCUAAGUGCCAUAUAUUAAUUGGAAAAAUAAGCUGCCAGAACUUUAUUGUUAUCUUCCUCUCUCAUUCUCUCUCUGUCUGUCUGUUUUACUUCUGAUCUCCUCCUCAAAAUCCAAAGUCCAGUAUGGGAUACAUACUGGAAUUUAAAAGGAUAGAAAGAAAGUCCUGACCCAAUUGAGUUAGUAACACUCCA